Molecule: ribosomal RNA, 465 nt
Filed under: uncultured bacterium
Lineage: Bacteria
Description: partial 16S ribosomal RNA
Rfam family: Bacterial small subunit ribosomal RNA
Source: RNAcentral
GACGAACGCUGGCGGCGUGCUUAACACAUGCAAGUCGAACGGAAAGGCCCUGCUUGCAGGGUACUCGAGUGGCGAACGGGUGAGUAACACGUGGGUGAUCUGCCCUGCACUUCGGGAUAAGCCUGGGAAACUGGGUCUAAUACCGGAUAGGAGCCAUUUUUAGUGUGAUGGUUGGAAAGUUUUUUCGGUGUAGGAUGAGCUCGCGGCCUAUCAGCUUGUUGGUGGGGUAAUGGCCUACCAAGGCGGCGACGGGUCGCCGGCCUGAGAGGGUGGACGGCCACAUUGGGACUGAGAUACGGCCCAGACUACUACGGGAGGCAGCAGUGGGGAAUAUUGCACAAUGGGCGCAAGCCUGAUGCAGCGACGCCGCGUGGGGGAUGACGGCCUUCGGGUUGUAAACUCCUUUCGCUAGGGACGAAGCUUUUUGUGACGGUACCUAGAUAAGAAGCACCGGCUAACUACGUG